CCUACGGGAGGCAGCAGUGAGGAAUAUUGGUCAAUGGACGCAAGUCUGAACCAGCCAUGUCGCGUGAAGGAUGACUGCCCUAUGGGUUGUCAACUUCUUUUAUACGAGGGUAAACCGCGGUACGUGUACCUUUUUGCAUGUACCUUAUGCAUAAGGAUCGGCUAACUCCGUGCCAGCAGCCGCGGUAAUACGGAGGAUCCGAGCGUUAUCCGGAUUUAUUGGGUUUAAAGGGAGCGUAGGUGGUGUGUUAAGUGAGUUGUGAAAUGUUGCGGCUCAACCGUAAAAUUGCAGUUGAAACUGGUAGGCUAGAGUACAGUAGUGGUGGGCGGAAUUCGUGGUGUAGCGGUGAAAUGCUUAGACAUCACAAAGAACACCGAUUGCAAAGGCAGCUCACUGGACUGCAACUGACAUUGAGGCUCGAAAGUGUGGGGAGCAAACAGGAUUAGAUACCCUGGUAGUC
This 460-nucleotide ribosomal RNA is filed under the name uncultured bacterium. RNAcentral describes it as "partial 16S ribosomal RNA". It matches the Rfam family "Bacterial small subunit ribosomal RNA", at positions 338 to 795 of the family's 1533-position model. The record is from RNAcentral.